This 872-nucleotide ribosomal RNA is filed under the name Lactiplantibacillus plantarum. Its description in RNAcentral is "bacterial SSU rRNA". It matches the Rfam family "Bacterial small subunit ribosomal RNA", at positions 54 to 890 of the family's 1533-position model. Lineage: Bacteria; Bacillati; Bacillota; Bacilli; Lactobacillales; Lactobacillaceae. The record is from RNAcentral.
GAUGCAAGUCGAACGAACUCUGGUNUNGAUUGGUACUUGUAUCAUGAUUUACAUUUGAGUGAGUGGCGAACUGGUGAGUAACACGUGGGAAACUUGCCCAGAAGCGGGGGAUAACACCUGGAAACAGAUGCUAAUACCGCAUAACAACUUGGACCGCAUGGUCCGAGYUUGAAAGAUGGUUUCGGCUAUCACUUCUGGAUAGUCCCGCGGCGCAUUAGCUAGAUGGUGAGGUAACGGCUCACCAUGGCAAUGAUGCGUAGCCGACCUGAGAGGGUAAUCGGCCACAUUGGGACUGAGACACGGCCCAAACUCCUACGGGAGGCAGCAGUAGGGAAUCUUCCACAAUGGACGAAAGUCUGAUGGAGCAACGCCGCGUGAGUGAAGAAGGGUUUCGGCUCGUAAAACUCUGUUGUUAAAGAAGAACAUAUCUGAGAGUAACUGUUCAGGUAUUGACGGUAUUUAACCAGAAAGCCACGGCUAACUACGUGCCAGCAGCCGCGGUAAUACGUAGGUGGCAAGCGUUGUCCGGAUUUAUUGGGCGUAAAGCGAGCGCAGGCGGUUUUUUAAGUCUGAUGUGAAAGCCUUCGGCUCAACCGAAGAAGUGCAUCGGAAACUGGGAAACUUGAGUGCAGAAGAGGACAGUGGAACUCCAUGUGUAGCGGUGAAAUGCGUAGAUAUAUGGAAGAACACCAGUGGCGAAGGCGGCUGUCUGGUCUGUAACUGACGCUGAGGCUCGAAAGUAUGGGUAGCAAACAGGAUUAGAUACCCUGGUAGUCCAUACCGUAAACGAUGAAUGCUAAGUGUUGGAGGGUUUCCGCNCUUCAGUGCUGCAGCUAACGCAUUAAGCAUUCCGNCUGGGGAGUACGACCGCA